Molecule: long non-coding RNA, 1190 nt
Organism: Vidua macroura (Pin-tailed whydah)
Lineage: Eukaryota; Metazoa; Chordata; Aves; Passeriformes; Viduidae
Exons: 3
Source: RefSeq, a predicted model, not a curated record
CACUUUAUGGAUGUUUGUGGGAAAAUCAUAGUUGAGAUGUUGCUUUUGCUUAAUUAUCCCUUGAAAUCCAUUUUCUCCUGCUUAAAACUUCUGUUUGCUGUGCUAUUUGACUGUAGGAGCUCAGCAAGGGCUUCAGCCUGCACAGUUCCUCUAUGUCUAGGUGUAGAGUGCUGGGAAGAAAGCAGCAGAGUGCGGCUUUAUUUGGGCACAGGAGUGCCUGGGGGCAGCGUUUCUUUGUUAAGUCCCAGGGCAGAAAUGAGGCAUAUAUGUCAUACACAUAGUCAUGCAUUUUACACCAUGCUAGAAGCUUCCGGCCCUUCCUCCUGCUCUGAUUCUCUUAGAGAAGCCACAAAGGAAAGUCUCUGUCUCUCUCAGACAUCAUCUUUUGCCAUCAUUCUCAGUCCUUCUCUACUUUUAAGUCCUGGGAGAAGAAUUCUCCCUGGCCCAGCUUGUUUCCUGUAGCUGCCCUCAGGAUGAAUGGAGCUGGAUCCAUGGAAAGGUCACUCAGCAAGAAGGAGGCACAGAAACCAACAAACAAGGGAGAUGAGGACCACAGAACCCCUGAUAUGUUCAACAUAGAAGAUAUUAAAAAGCUUUACCUAUCAGCAAGAGGAGCCAAGAGGACAUCAAUGUCACUCCACCAAAAAGUUCACUUUUGCCCUCAGGAGAUGGCAAUCCUACAGAGCAUCCCCCUUGACUAAGGGCUGCCUGCAAAAGCUGUGCAAGAAACUUCACUGGUCAGUUUAAGUGCAGGAUGUUUUGUGCACAGGUUUAAAUGGAAAAUCACUUCAACUUCAGGAGAGCAGGAUCUAGCUGAGAAAUCUCACAGUGCAAUACAUAAGAUAAAUUUUAUUAAUUAAAUCAAAUUCAAAAUGUAUAUUUUACCAUUUUAGGAUAAAGAAUAUUUCCUAAAAUGUCAAUAAUGGUUAAAAAGAAAUUGCUUGUUGCUUUAUUAAAGCAGCUGAGUUAAUUUCUUGUGGCUGCUUAUUUUAAGAAAGUAAGAAAGAAUCAGCAGCAUCAUAAAAACACAGAUUCUGUUUCUUAUAUUUUCUACUCAUAAAAAAGGGGAAAAGCAAAAUGUGAAAGAGCUUAGAGCUAAGGUAUUUGGUUUGAGGAUCAGUAGAAUAUUUAAUUUUUCUGUAGGAAUAAUUAUAGUCUUGAUUAUUAUAUAAAUAUUGUUUCAUCUUAGC